UUUAGUAACAGUUUCCCAUUCUGGAAUGGA
RNAcentral lists this non-coding RNA (30 nucleotides) under Rattus norvegicus (Norway rat). Lineage: Eukaryota; Metazoa; Chordata; Mammalia; Rodentia; Muridae. The record is from RNAcentral.